Molecule: ribosomal RNA, 472 nt
Filed under: uncultured bacterium
Lineage: Bacteria
Description: partial 16S ribosomal RNA
Rfam family: Bacterial small subunit ribosomal RNA
Source: RNAcentral
GACGAACGCUGGCGGCGUGCUUAACACAUGCAAGUCGAACGAUGAACCCGGAGCUUGCUCUGGGGGAUUAGUGGCGAACGGGUGAGUAACACGUGAGUAACCUGCCCUGGACUCUGGGAUAAGCGUUGGAAACGACGUCUAAUACCGGAUAGGACCUUGGAUCGCAUGAUCUGGGGUGGAAAGUUUUUUCGGUCUGGGAUGGACUCGCGGCCUAUCAGCUUGUUGGUGAGGUAAUGGCUCACCAAGGCGUCGACGGGUAGCCGGCCUGAGAGGGUGACCGGCCACAGUGGGACUGAGACACGGCCCAGACUCCUACGGGAGGCAGCAGUGGGGAAUAUUGCACAAUGGGCGAAAGCCUGAUGCAGCAACGCCGCGUGCGGGAUGACGGCCUUCGGGUUGUAAACCGCUUUUAGUAGGGAAGAAGGGCUUCGGCUUGACGGUACCUGCAGAAAAAGGACCGGCUAACUACGUG